RNAcentral lists this long non-coding RNA (1306 nucleotides) under Ananas comosus (pineapple). RNAcentral describes it as "long non-coding RNA (ACOM_LNC015136)". Lineage: Eukaryota; Viridiplantae; Streptophyta; Magnoliopsida; Poales; Bromeliaceae. The record is from RNAcentral.
GGAAGGAAAAAUGUAGAUACAAGAUUUAGGAGAAUGAUGAGCUUAAUGAAGAUUGUAACAACUUUAAAUUAACAUCAUCAACCCCGUCGUCGUUGCCGGCACCAUCAACAUCGCCCAUUAGAUGAAAUGAUAUAAUGAGGUAAUAGAAAACUUACAGAGUUUUGUUUUUCCUCCCUUUUUUUCCUUUUUGGUUAUCAUCUACAAAAUGAUAUUUAGAUUUUCAAGGUAAUAUUAUUUUAAAAUAAAAAUUAUUGAGCUUUCUUUUUUUUAUUUUUUUUAAUUGGCUAAAGUGUUGUUUUUUCUCUAUUUUAUUUCAUUUUUGUGAUAUAAUAGGAAGGAAAAAUGUAGAUACACGAUUUAGGAGAAUGAUGAGCUCAAUGAAGAUUGUAACAACUUUAAAUUAACAUCAUCAACCCCGUCGUCGUUGCCGGCACCAUCAACAUCGCCCAUUAGAUGAAAUGAUAUAACGAGGUAAUAGAAAACUUACAGAGUUUUUUUUUUCUCCCUUUUUUUUCUUUUUUUAAGGGAAAAUAGAGAAAUAAGUUUGCAAAAGAGGGGAGUUGUAUGAUUUUAUUCAAACUAGGUUUUAUAGAAAAGGUUGAUGCUUCUAUAUAUAUUUGUGAGGUGUGUGCAUUUUUAGUUUUUUUUCCCUGCUUCCUUUUGCUUUUUUUCUUUUUUUAUUUAUUUUUGCUUCACUUCUCGCUAAAUUCUUAUAAGUUUAUGAGUUACUUUUUUUUAUUUGCUUCAUUGUUGGUUAAAAGUUUAUGAGUUUCAUUAAAAGAUAGGUUAAAAAAAACUUAAACUAUCCACUUUAAUUUUUUUCGAAAAAAGAAACUCUUUAUAAUAGUUUUGAUGUUAUUUAUUUUCUCUCCGUCUCAAGGUUUGUAAUGAAAAGGCAAUGGGAAAAGAAAAAGGAGGGUGACAUUUUUGAGUGUUUUUUUCUUCUUGAAUUGAAUAAUAUAGCAAUCCCAUUUAUGAAGGAAUAGGCAAUAUUUUUUUGUUAUCUUUCUAAAUGUUGGCUUUUAGUACAAUUAUGAGAGAGAUGUUGCAAUCAUAAAAAUACAGUAUCACCUUCAAUUCAAAAAGAUAACAAUCAAUCUUUUUUCUACGGUAAAAUAUACUUACUUGCUAUUUUAUGUUAUUACGUUACCAUAUACAUUUUAAAAUUUUAAUUAUUAUUAUUACUUUUUAACUAAAAAAGUUUAAAGUUUUAUUUCUAUUAUCUACCCGCAACAUCGCGCGGGUUUCUGUACUAGUAUAGCACUAAGAAUGUAACUCUUCGACAAAAAAUAUUUAUGCAGAUAGU